This 75-nucleotide transfer RNA is filed under the name candidate division WWE3 bacterium RIFOXYA1_FULL_40_11. RNAcentral's name for it is "tRNA-Gly". It matches the Rfam family "tRNA". From Rfam's summary of the family: Transfer RNA (tRNA) molecules are approximately 80 nucleotides in length. Their secondary structure includes four short double-helical elements and three loops (D, anti-codon, and T loops). The record is from RNAcentral. RNAcentral also lists the same sequence under 9 other names. Lineage: Bacteria; candidate division WWE3.
GCGGGCGUGGCUUAGUGGUAAAGCGUCUCCUUCCCAAGGAGAAGAUCGCGGGUUCGAAUCCCGUCGCCCGCUCCA